GAACAAAGAGGAAAAUACAGAGAGAGAUGGAUUCAGUCGACCCGUCUUCGUUGAAGACAAACCUUUGAACUCAUUUUGUUUUUGUUUUGUUUGUUUGGGUUUUUCCCCUUUAUUCCCUGAAUACCGAGCUGGACAUGAACUUUACUGUGUGCAAAGUUCGCAAAAUGAAGUUUCAUCACGUCGGAAACGCCGCUAACAAACGGAGCUAAGCYACAGCGUUGUCAAGAACAACCCAAAUGAUUGGAGUUAAUUGUCGGCUGCAGCUGCAGCAGGUGGGUGUUGACUCUGGAUCCAUCAGACGGAGCGAAACUCCAGCCUGAACGAGACGAGGAGUCGUCUCACCCGGGGGAAACGUUCAUCUGGGUCACAUGAUCAACAACAGGAAGUUACCACUGCGAGAAACGACGAAGAAGACGACAACAGGAAGUGGUUGAAGUAUCAUGGCUGGUGACUUAUUCCAUGAACAAACUUAUUCACGUGUGAUUUUAAUUGUGUUUCUUAUUUAAUGGAAAUACCGCACUUGCAACAUUGUUUUUUUUGUUUGUUUUGUUUUUUUUACAUUUAUUAACAUAGUUCUUCAAACAUUUGUGCAGGAAAUGCAGCUUUUGAGUCGCAGCAAUUAAAGCCCCACAAACACAAACACCGCUCUUGAAAAGCAUUCCUAUUWGUAAAACAUUUAUUUAGGAGACCAGUCACAGAAAGAAGUCUUGAUUUGUAUCUGCACACUUUAUGUCCUAAUUUAUUGCUGUUAAUUGAUGUUUUAAUUGAACAAACAGUGGAGAAAAAUAGUAAAACAAACAAUAAAAACUUUAUGGACAUGUUAAACAUCGUAAACUGGAAUUUAUUGUGACAACAGCAGCAAGAUCUCCUCUAUAAUCUGACAAAAGCAGAAAGGGUGUACUUAGUUUUUAAAAACAUCAUCGUCCUUUUCACCUCCAGCCUCUUCAGAGUGAAUACUCCACAACCCAAAGCUCCACUUGGAGAUUUAUUCAAUCCGUUAUCCCACUUUGGCUUUUGGCUUCGCUUUAAACACUAAAAUCAAAUAGGAAAAAAAGACGCGUAUCUGUUGGGUUCGUUCCUCUCUGGGUGGAAAUCAUCCCGCUGUUCAGUCGCAGCUCCUGAGUCUCUGGAUGUUAUCAGGAGGUUGAUGCCCAGAGGGAAGCGGCUCAGGCCUUCACAGUGGGAUGUCUGCUACGUGGCAGCUAUCACCAAGGCCAUCUGACUUCUGGGAUCACCGAGGGCAACUUUCCCGCUUUCUUCUGCUCCGUGAGAGCUGAGCUGAAACCAGAGGGGAAAUCUGAGCCGCAACAAAGCUGGUGAUGUCUGAGGCUGAGGAGGAGCGUGUGGCGCGGGGCCGUAACGGACGUUGGCGGGUUGACAGGAGAGCACGGCCUCCACGGAUUGACCCACUAACUAAAGACAAAAGAGUGAUGAUUUGAGGCUUUCCUUCCCCCCCCCGAAGCUGAACGGACCAGCAGCGCCGGCCGGCCCAGUUCUGGAGGCUCACAUGAAUGAAGCAUUCAGGCUUUUAGCAGAGAGCAACAACAACCAGGCCUCAAAUAAGAAGCGCAGUGUUUAUUAUCAGACAGCAGGACUGGAAAUCACACGAGGUGGAACCAGCUCCAGAGCUAAACUGGUGUUUUUUCUGCCUCAGCAAACGACAGGAGCAGCUCUGGCACCAACGAAACCCAUUAACUCACUCAUUCACCCAGGAAAACCCAUUAAAAUACAGAUAAACCAACAGCCUGUGGUGGGCGGCGCUAG
This is a long non-coding RNA of Poecilia reticulata (guppy), 1764 nucleotides long. RefSeq lists it as uncharacterized. Lineage: Eukaryota; Metazoa; Chordata; Actinopteri; Cyprinodontiformes; Poeciliidae. The record is from RefSeq and is a predicted model, not a curated record.